UACGUAGGGGGCAAGCGUUGUCCGGAUUUAUUGGGCGUAAAGAGCGUGUAGGCGGCCAAACAGGUCAGCUGUGAAAACUCGAGGCUCAACCUCGAGACGUCGGUGGAAACCGUUUGGCUAGAGUCCGGAAGAGGAGAGUGGAAUUCCUGGUGUAGCGGUGAAAUGCGCAGAUAUCAGGAGGAACACCGGUGGGCGAAGGCGGUUCUCUGGGCCUUACCUGACGCUGGAGGAGCGAAAAGCGUGGGGAGCGAACAGG
Molecule: ribosomal RNA, 256 nt
Filed under: uncultured bacterium
Lineage: Bacteria
Description: partial 16S ribosomal RNA
Rfam family: Bacterial small subunit ribosomal RNA
Source: RNAcentral